UACGUAGGUGGCAAGCGUUAUCCGGAAUUAUUGGGCGUAAAGAGCGCGCAGGUGGUUAAUUAAGUCUGAUGUGAAAGCCCACGGCUUAACCGUGGAGGGUCAUUGGAAACUGGUUGACUUGAGUGCAGAAGAGGGAAGUGGAAUUCCAUGUGUAGCGGCGAAAUGCGUAGAGAUAUGGAGGAACACCAGUGGCGAAGGCGGCUUCCUGGUCUGCAACUGACACUGAGGCGCGAAAGCGUGGGGAGCAAACAGG
RNAcentral lists this ribosomal RNA (253 nucleotides) under uncultured bacterium. RNAcentral describes it as "partial 16S ribosomal RNA". It matches the Rfam family "Bacterial small subunit ribosomal RNA", at positions 524 to 776 of the family's 1533-position model. The record is from RNAcentral.